This 200-nucleotide ribosomal RNA is filed under the name Macruronus novaezelandiae (blue grenadier). Its description in RNAcentral is "partial 16S ribosomal RNA". The record is from RNAcentral. Lineage: Eukaryota; Metazoa; Chordata; Actinopteri; Gadiformes; Merlucciidae.
ACACCUAACAGCUAGCCUUAACACUAGAAAAACGCUAUAAAAUUAAACAAAACUUGUAGUAUACUAAGUAAACCAUUUUAAACCCUUAGUCUGGGCGACAAAAAAGGAAAAUAAGAGCGAUAGAGGCAGUACCGUGAGGGAAAGCUGAAAUAGAAAUUAAAUAAACCAUCUAAGUAAAAAAAAGUAGAGCUAAUCUCUCG